This is a small nucleolar RNA of Pongo abelii (Sumatran orangutan), 83 nucleotides long. Its record names the gene U3. It matches the Rfam family "Small nucleolar RNA U3". Rfam says of the family: Small nucleolar RNAs (snoRNAs) are involved in the processing and modification of rRNA in the nucleolus. There are two main classes of snoRNAs: the box C/D class, and the box H/ACA class. Lineage: Eukaryota; Metazoa; Chordata; Mammalia; Primates; Hominidae. The record is from Ensembl.
AAGACUAUACUUUCAGGGAUCAUUUCCAUAGUUCGUUACCAGAGAAGUUUCUCUGAGCGUGUGGAGCACUGAAAUAUCUAAGA